Molecule: transfer RNA, 80 nt
Filed under: Botryobasidium botryosum FD-172 SS1
Lineage: Eukaryota; Fungi; Basidiomycota; Agaricomycetes; Cantharellales; Botryobasidiaceae
Description: tRNA-Asp
Rfam family: tRNA
About the family: Transfer RNA (tRNA) molecules are approximately 80 nucleotides in length. Their secondary structure includes four short double-helical elements and three loops (D, anti-codon, and T loops). Further hydrogen bonds mediate the characteristic L-shaped molecular structure. tRNAs have two regions of fundamental functional importance: the anti-codon, which is responsible for specific mRNA codon recognition, and the 3' end, to which the tRNAs corresponding amino acid is attached (by aminoacyl-tRNA synthetases). tRNAs cope with the degeneracy of the genetic code in two manners: having more than one tRNA (with a specific anti-codon) for a particular amino acid; and 'wobble' base-pairing, i.e. permitting non-standard base-pairing at the 3rd anti-codon position.
Source: RNAcentral
UCUCUGCUGGUAUAUCGGUAGAACACAACCCUGUCAUUUGAUGGUCGGUUGAGAGCUGGGUUCGACUCCCAGGCAGAGAG